CCUACGGGAGGCUGCAGUGGGGAAUAUUGGACAAUGGGCGAAAGCCUGAUCCAGCCAUGCCGCGUGUGUGAAGAAGGCCUUCGGGUUGUAAAGCACUUUCAGUGGGGAAGAAAGCCUUGGGGCUAAUACCCUCGAGGAAGGACAUCACCCACAGAAGAAGCACCGGCUAACUCCGUGCCAGCAGCCGCGGUAAUACGGAGGGUGCGAGCGUUAAUCGGAAUUACUGGGCGUAAAGCGCGCGUAGGCGGUCUGAUAAGCCGGUUGUGAAAGCCCCGGGCUCAACCUGGGAACGGCAUCCGGAACUGUCAGGCUAGAGUGCAGGAGAGGAAGGUAGAAUUCCCGGUGUAGCGGUGAAAUGCGUAGAGAUCGGGAGGAAUACCAGGGGCGAAGGCGGCCUUCUGGACUGACACUGACGCUGAGGUGCGAAAGCGUGGGUAGCAAACAGGAUUAGAUACCCCUGUAGUC
Molecule: ribosomal RNA, 465 nt
Filed under: Vreelandella stevensii
Lineage: Bacteria; Pseudomonadati; Pseudomonadota; Gammaproteobacteria; Oceanospirillales; Halomonadaceae
Description: partial 16S ribosomal RNA
Rfam family: Bacterial small subunit ribosomal RNA
Source: RNAcentral